GGGGAAUAUUGCACAAUGGGCGCAAGCCUGAUGCAGCCAUGCCGCGUGUGUGAAGAAGGCCUUCGGGUUGUAAAGCACUUUCAGCGGGGAGGAAGGCGAUACGGUUAAUAACCGUGUUGAUUGACGUUACCCGCAGAAGAAGCACCGGCUAACUCCGUGCCAGCAGCCGCGGUAAUACGGAGGGUGCAAGCGUUAAUCGGAAUUACUGGGCGUAAAGCGCACGCAGGCGGUCUGUCAAGUCGGAUGUGAAACCCCCGGGCUCAACCUGGGAACUGCAUUCGAAACUGGCAGGCUAGAGUCUUGUAGAGGGGGGUAGAAUUCCAGGUGUAGCGGUGAAAUGCGUAGAGAUCUGGAGGAAUACCGGUGGCGAAGGCGGCCCCCUGGACAAAGACUGACGCUCAGGUGCGAAAGCGUGGGGAGCAAGC
RNAcentral lists this ribosomal RNA (425 nucleotides) under uncultured bacterium. RNAcentral describes it as "bacterial SSU rRNA". It matches the Rfam family "Bacterial small subunit ribosomal RNA", at positions 356 to 773 of the family's 1533-position model. The record is from RNAcentral.